AUCCGUACGAGCGCACCCUUGUCCCUAGUUGCCAGCACUUCGGGUGGGAACUCUAGGGAGACUGCCGGUGAUAAACCGGAGGAAGGUGGGGAUGACGUCAAGUCAUCAUGGCCCUUAUGGGGAGGGCUACACACGUGCUACAAUGGCCGGUACAGAGGGCUGCGAAGCCGCGAGGUGGAGCGGAUCUCAGAAAACCGGUCGUAGUCCGGAUUGCAGUCUGCAACUCGACUGCAUGAAGCCGGAAUCGCUAGUAAUCGCGGAUCAGAACGCCGCGGUGAAUACGUUCCCGGGCCUUGUACACACCGCCCGUCACACCACGAAAGUCAGCUGUACCUGACGUCGCUGGAGCUAACCCGCAAGGGGGGCAGGUGCCCACGGUAUGGUUGGUGAUUGGGGUGAAGUCGUAACAAGGUAGCCGUAGGGGAACCUGCGGCUGGAUCACCUCCUUU
RNAcentral lists this ribosomal RNA (449 nucleotides) under uncultured Chromatiales bacterium. Its description in RNAcentral is "bacterial SSU rRNA". It matches the Rfam family "Bacterial small subunit ribosomal RNA", at positions 1084 to 1533 of the family's 1533-position model. Lineage: Bacteria; Pseudomonadati; Pseudomonadota; Gammaproteobacteria; Chromatiales. The record is from RNAcentral.